Molecule: ribosomal RNA, 254 nt
Filed under: uncultured bacterium
Lineage: Bacteria
Description: partial 16S ribosomal RNA
Rfam family: Bacterial small subunit ribosomal RNA
Source: RNAcentral
UACGUAGGGCGCAAGCGUUAUCCGGAAUUAUUGGGUGUAAAGAGCUCGUAGGCGGUUUGUCGCGUCUGCCGUGAAAGUCCGGGGCUCAACUGUGGGCGUGCGGUCGAUACGGGCAUCACUGGAGUUCGGCAGGGGAGACUGGAAUUCCUGGUGUAGCGGUGAAAUGCGCAGAUAUCAGGAGGAACACCGGUGGCGAAGGCGGGUCUCUGGGCCGAUACUGACGCUAAGGAGCGAAAGCGUGGGGAGCGAACAGG